CUUUAAAUAAGCUAACAAAGCUGUUGGGCUCAUAACCCAAAAAUGGUGACUCCUUUAAAGAC
This 62-nucleotide transfer RNA is filed under the name Cylindrus obtusus. Its description in RNAcentral is "tRNA-Met". The record is from RNAcentral. Lineage: Eukaryota; Metazoa; Mollusca; Gastropoda; Stylommatophora; Helicidae.